This 774-nucleotide ribosomal RNA is filed under the name uncultured Neocallimastigales. Its description in RNAcentral is "partial large subunit ribosomal RNA". It matches the Rfam family "Eukaryotic large subunit ribosomal RNA", at positions 24 to 649 of the family's 3401-position model. The record is from RNAcentral. Lineage: Eukaryota; Fungi; Neocallimastigomycota; Neocallimastigomycetes; Neocallimastigales.
UACGACUACAUAUCAGGCAUAUCAAUAAGCGGAGGAAAAGAAACUAACAAGGAUUCCCUUAGUAACGGCGAGUGAAGCGGGAAGAGCUCAAAUUUGAAAUCUUCAAGGUUCUACCUUGACGAAUUGUAGUUUAAAGAAGUGUUUUCUGUUAGAUGAGUAGCAAAAGUUCCUUGGAAUGGGACAUCAUAGAGGGUGAGAAUCCCGUAUUUGGUUAUUCAUUCUAGCUUUGUGAUACACUUUCAAAGAGUCGGAUUGUUUGGGAAUGCAGUCCAAAAUGGGUGGUAAAUUUCAUCUAAAGCUAAAUAUUGGCGAGAGACCGAUAGCGAACAAGUACCGUGAGGGAAAGAUGAAAAGAACUUUGAAAAGAGAGUUAAACAGUACGUGAAAUUGUCAAAAGGGAAGCGUUUGACACCAGUGUUGUUUUUCCGAAAAUCAAUUACGAAUGGCUUGAUUUUGUGUUGUAUUGACCUUAUCAGCUUUCUAGCACUCUUUUCUGAGUCUUUUUAAUGCACUUUUCGGUUAACAAGUCAACAUCAAUUUCUUUUGUUGUAAAAGAGUAUUCGAAGGUGGCUUUCUUUUCGGAGAAAGUGUUUAUAGCCCUAUACUUCUACAAUCGGAGAGAUUGAGGUCUGCAGCGUAGAUCCUUCGGGGUUAGAUACACUUGUGCUAAGUUGUAGCUUUUCAUAGACAACUUGUUGACUAUGUUUAGUCAUGCGGCUUACUCGCUUGUGCUAUUUUACCUACGCUUAGGAUGUUGAGUAGCGACAUACGCAC